UGGGGAAUAUUGCACAAUGGGGGAAACCCUGAUGCAGCGACGCCGCGUGAACGAAGAAGGUAUUCGUAUCGUAAAGUUCUGUCCUAUGGGAAGAUAAUGACAGUACCAUAGAAGAAAGCUCCGGCUAAAUACGUGCCAGCAGCCGCGGUAAUACGUAUGGACCGAGCGUUGUCCGGAAUCAUUGGGCGUAAAGGGUACGUAGGCGGCCUAGUAAGUUAGAAGUUAAAGAAUAUAGCUCAACUAUAUAAAGCUUUUAAAACUGCUAGGCUUGAGAGAUGGAAGGGAAAGUGGAAUUCCUAGUGUAGCGGUGAAAUGCGCAGAUAUUAGGAAGAAUACCGGUGGCGAAGGCGACUUUCUGGUCAUCAUCUGACGCUGAGGUACGAAAGCGUGGGUAGCAAACAGG
RNAcentral lists this ribosomal RNA (403 nucleotides) under Bacteroidota bacterium. RNAcentral describes it as "Bacteroidetes bacterium partial 16S ribosomal RNA". It matches the Rfam family "Bacterial small subunit ribosomal RNA", at positions 355 to 776 of the family's 1533-position model. The record is from RNAcentral. Lineage: Bacteria; Pseudomonadati; Bacteroidota.